Long non-coding RNA from Oncorhynchus keta (chum salmon), 267 nucleotides. RefSeq lists it as uncharacterized. Lineage: Eukaryota; Metazoa; Chordata; Actinopteri; Salmoniformes; Salmonidae. The transcript has 3 exons. The record is from RefSeq and is a predicted model, not a curated record.
AGGUAAUAGGUGUUUUGACCAGGUAUAGGUAAUAGGUGUCUUGACCAGGUAAUGGGUAUAGGUGUUUUGACCAGGUAAUGGGUAUAGGUAAUAGGUGUUUUGACCCAGGUAUAGGUAAUAGGUGUUUUGACCAGGUAUAGGUAAUAGGUGUUUUGACCAGGUAUAGGUAAUAGGUGUUUUGACCAGGUAAUGGGUAUAGGUAAUGGGUGUUUUGACCAGGUAAUGGGUAUAGGUAAUGGGUGUUUUGACCAGGUAAUGGAUAUAGGU